Molecule: ribosomal RNA, 497 nt
Filed under: uncultured bacterium
Lineage: Bacteria
Description: partial 16S ribosomal RNA
Rfam family: Bacterial small subunit ribosomal RNA
Source: RNAcentral
GACGAACGCUGGCGGCGUGCCUAAUACAUGCAAGUAGAACGCUGAAGAGAGGAGCUUGCUCUUCUUGGAUGAGUUGCGAACGGGUGAGUAACGCGUAGGUAACCUGCCUUGUAGCGGGGGAUAACUAUUGGAAACGAUAGCUAAUACCGCAUAACAAUGGAUGACACAUGUCAUUUAUUUGAAAGGGGCAAUUGCUCCACUACAAGAUGGACCUGCGUUGUAUUAGCUAGUAGGUGAGGUAACGGCUCACCUAGGCGACGAUACAUAGCCGACCUGAGAGGGUGAUCGGCCACACUGGGUCUGAGACACGGCCCAGACUCCUACGGGAGGCAGCAGUAGGGAAUCUUCGGCAAUGGGGGCAACCCUGACCGAGCAACGCCGCGUGAGUGAAGAAGGUUUUCGGAUCGUAAAGCUCUGUUGUAAGUCAAGAACGAGUGUGAGAGUGGAAAGUUCACACUGUGACGGUAGCUUACCAGAAAGGGACGGCUAACUACGUG